Non-coding RNA from Leptonychotes weddellii (Weddell seal), 464 nucleotides. The record is from RefSeq and is a predicted model, not a curated record. NCBI's taxonomy places the organism in Eukaryota, Metazoa, Chordata, Mammalia, Carnivora, Phocidae.
GCUGAAUUCAAGAUGAGUUUAUGUAACAGGAAAUCUGGCUAGCUCAGGCUUGGCCACGUGACUUGUUUAAGAUGCCAACUCUGAGAAGUUCUUUCACUUUGGUCCUUACCGUGAGAAAAGCAUGUACAAGUAAGGCUCUGCUCCUUCAAUCUGGCUUCUGGAUUGAGAAGACAAAUGAGGCAGACCCCAUCGAUCCACCCUCUGCAACAGAGCCACAGCCGGCCAAUACUUCACCUGUAAGCAGUCAUUGUUCCUUACACGUUUACAACACUGGAGUCCGUAAACUGCUAUCAGAUAGACGACCUCAUUUGUGACUCACAACUUCAUUAAGAGUGAGGAAACAGAAGCUCAGAAGAGUUAAAAUAAUUUCAUAAGUUUAUGCAAUUAAGCAGCAGAAGUGAAAUCUGAAUCCAGGUCUGUGUAGUGUCUCCAUUACCCCAUACUUCUGCUCCCCCCCACUUGGA